This 350-nucleotide ribosomal RNA is filed under the name marine Metazoa environmental sample. RNAcentral's name for it is "SSU rRNA". It matches the Rfam family "Eukaryotic small subunit ribosomal RNA", at positions 587 to 972 of the family's 1831-position model. Lineage: Eukaryota; Metazoa. The record is from RNAcentral.
AGCUCCAAUAGCGUAUAUUAAAGUUGCUGCAGUUAAAAAGCUCGUAGUUGGAUCUCGGGGUACCUGGUCUAGCCGGUAUAGCUCACGCUAAAACUGGUCUGACCCCCCAACGUGAGGUAUUCGUCUCCGGGUGCACUUCAUUGGGUGCUCGUGAGGGGCCUCGUAGUUACUGUGAAAAAAUUAGAGUGUUCAAAGCAGGCUCAUAUGUUCGGAUAGUCGUGCAUGGAAUAACUGAAUACGUGACUGGCGCUUUUCAGUUGGUCUCGGCGACUGGUCAAAUGAUUAAGAGGGACUGCCUUGGAUCCUCGCCAGACCAACAAAAGCGAAAGCAUUUGCCAAGAAUGUCUUCA